RNAcentral lists this ribosomal RNA (484 nucleotides) under uncultured bacterium. RNAcentral's name for it is "partial 16S ribosomal RNA". It matches the Rfam family "Bacterial small subunit ribosomal RNA", at positions 30 to 507 of the family's 1533-position model. The record is from RNAcentral.
AUUGAACGCUGGCGGCAGGCCUAACACAUGCAAGUCGAGCGGAUGAAGGGAGCUUGCUCCUGGAUUCAGCGGCGGACGGGUGAGUAAUGCCUAGGAAUCUGCCUGGUAGUGGGGGAUAACGUCCGGAAACGGGCGCUAAUACCGCAUACGUCCUGAGGGAGAAAGUGGGGGAUCUUCGGACCUCACGCUAUCAGAUGAGCCUAGGUCGGAUUAGCUAGUUGGUGGGGUAAAGGCCUACCAAGGCGACGAUCCGUAACUGGUCUGAGAGGAUGAUCAGUCACACUGGAACUGAGACACGGUCCAGACUCCUACGGGAGGCAGCAGUUGGGAAUAUUGGACAAUGGGCCAAAGCCUUAUCCAGCCAUGGCGGGUGUGUUAAGAAGGUCUUCGGAUUUUAAAGCACUUUAAGUUGGGAGGAAGGGCAGUAAGUUAAUACCUUGCUGUUUUGACGUUACCAACAGAAUAAGCACCGGCUAACUUCGUG